Molecule: ribosomal RNA, 207 nt
Filed under: uncultured bacterium
Lineage: Bacteria
Description: partial 16S ribosomal RNA
Rfam family: Bacterial small subunit ribosomal RNA
Source: RNAcentral
CGUCUAGGCGGAGCAGCAAGUCGGCUGUGAAAUCCCUCGGCUUACCCGAGGACGUGCAUCCGAUACUGCUGUUCUUGAGGACGAGAGGGGAGAGUGGAACUCCUGGUGGAGCGGUGAAAUGCGUAGAUAUCAGGAGGAACGCCGGUGGCGAAAGCGACUCUCUGGCUCGUUCCUGACGCUGAAGCGCGAAAGCUAGGGGAGCGAACG